RNA transcript from Drosophila persimilis, 1328 nucleotides. It is a transcript of the gene named ras-related protein Rab-2A, with no coding region annotated. The record is from RefSeq and is a predicted model, not a curated record. Lineage: Eukaryota; Metazoa; Arthropoda; Insecta; Diptera; Drosophilidae. The transcript is spliced from 5 exons.
AUUGUAAAAUUACGAGAUCAUAGUUUCAAGAAGUGUGAUCUAAACCAACCAGCUGCAACCAUGUCCUACGCAUACUUGUUCAAAUACAUUAUCAUUGGCGAUACUGGCGUCGGAAAAUCAUGUCUGCUACUGCAGUUCACGGACAAGCGCUUUCAGCCGGUGCACGAUCUGACAAUUGGCGUGGAGUUUGGAGCACGCAUGAUCACGAUUGAUGGCAAACAGAUCAAGCUGCAAAUCUGGGACACAGCAGGCCAAGAGGCUUUCAGAUCAAUAACCCGCUCGUAUUAUCGUGGUGCUGCUGGGGCCUUGCUGGUGUACGACAUCACAAGGCGGGAGACCUUCAACCAUCUGACCACAUGGCUGGAGGACGCGCGUCAGCACUCGAACUCCAACAUGGUGAUCAUGCUCAUUGGCAACAAGAGCGAUCUGGACUCGAGGCGUGAGGUGAAAAAGGAGGAGGGUGAGGCAUUUGCCCGUGAGCAUGGACUGGUCUUCAUGGAGACAUCAGCGCGCACAGCGGCCAACGUGGAGGAGGCCUUCAUCAACACCGCCAAAGAGAUUUACGAGAAGAUACAGGAGGGAGUGUUCGAUAUAAACAAUGAGGCAAACGGCAUUAAAAUCGGCCAACAGCAUUCACCCACAAACCCCUCGCUGCCUGGGUCUGGCGGAGCUGCCGGCGCUGCAAACAGUGGCUGCUGCUAGGAGUAAGCGGCAGAUGCCUGCCAGCAACAUUGGGUAUAGACGUAGCCCGCUUCUGUAAAAGCUACUCUAGUGACUAACUAAUAGAAGCGAGCCAUCCAGUCGCUGCCCUGCAACGCCGCGCCACGCCCCAUUUUGCAAUGGGUGUCUGCCCCUGCCCUGCCCCAUCUACAUACAUACCUACAUACAUACAUAAUUAUGUGCAUAUUUUUAUAUUUCCUUCUCAACGCAUUUGCUUUGUUCCGACAUUUUAUUGUGCAAUUGGUUCCACUUUACACCCGUAACACUUUAUUCAUAAGCUAAAACGAAAAGAAAAACGAACCGAGCGACAACAGAAAAUGCUAAAACUUGUGCGCUGAAAGGGAGUUAUUUAAACGAUAUAGAUACAUCAAAAUGGGAUGAACGUGAACGUAAACGUAAACGCUGCGAUUCAAUGAUCAAUUUAGUAUUCUACGAGGUUUAAAUAUACAUACAUAUAUUAAAUUAAAGACAAACACAAGAUUUAAACGAACUAUACAACCGUAAACGUAAAUCAAAUUAUUUAUAAUAUUUGUAUUUGCCCAAAAGCCCUUCCCAUGCGGAAUAAUGAAUAUAUACAUACAUAAUAAAUAUUUAAAAACCACAUCAAA